Molecule: long non-coding RNA, 232 nt
Filed under: Phaseolus vulgaris (common bean)
Lineage: Eukaryota; Viridiplantae; Streptophyta; Magnoliopsida; Fabales; Fabaceae
Description: long non-coding RNA (PVUL_LNC001692)
Source: RNAcentral
UCCUGACGAAACGGCGGAGAUGCCCAGCCUGGAUAAGUUCCUCGAUCUUAUCCUUAAGGGCCUGACACUCGUCGGUUGAGUGUCCGGUGUUUUGGUGGUACCGACACUGCUUCCUCCGGUCGGCGUUAUUUGGGCUGGCCACCUUCCUUGGGGGAGGGAUCAGCUCAGCGUUGAGGGCUUCGUCCAGAAUCCUCCCCCGCUCGGUCGUCAGGGGUGUAUACCUUGAGAACCG